UACGUAGGGAGCAAGCGUUGUUCGGAUUUACUGGGCGUAAAGGGCGCGUAGGCGGCAAUUCAAGUCAGCUGUGAAAUCUCCGGGCUUAACUCGGAACGGUCAGCUGAUACUGCUUUGCUAGAGUCCGGUAGGGGAGCAUGGAAUUCCUGGUGUAGCGGUGAAAUGCGCAGAUAUCAGGAGGAAUACCGAUGGCGAAGGCAGGUCUCUGGGCUGACACUGACGCUCAUGCACGAAAGCGUGGGGAGCAAACAGG
Molecule: ribosomal RNA, 253 nt
Filed under: uncultured bacterium
Lineage: Bacteria
Description: partial 16S ribosomal RNA
Rfam family: Bacterial small subunit ribosomal RNA
Source: RNAcentral